AGCGAACGCUGGCGGCAGGCCUAACACAUGCAAGUCGAACGAACCUUUCGGGGUUAGUGGCGGACGGGUGAGUCACACGUGGGAACGUGCCUUAAGGUUCGGAAUAACUCAGGUAAACUUGUGCUAAUACCGAAUGUGCUCUUCGGGGGCAAGAUUUAUCGUCUUUAUGGCGGCCCGGGUCCUAUUGGCUAGUUGGUUGAGGUAAUGGCUCACUCAGGCUACCUAGAGUAGCUGGUCUGAGCGGAUGAUCAGCCACAUUGGGAGUGAGACCCGGCGCAAACUCCGACGGAAGGCAGCAGUGGGGAAUCAUGCGCAAUGCGCGAAAGCCGAACGCAGCCAUGCCGUGUGAAUGAUGAAGGUCUUAGGAUUGUAAAAUUCUUUCACCGGCGACGAUAAGGCGGGUACCCGAGGAAGAAGCCCGGGCUAAUUCCGU
This 433-nucleotide ribosomal RNA is filed under the name uncultured bacterium. Its description in RNAcentral is "partial 16S ribosomal RNA". It matches the Rfam family "Bacterial small subunit ribosomal RNA", at positions 29 to 506 of the family's 1533-position model. The record is from RNAcentral.